Molecule: long non-coding RNA, 201 nt
Filed under: Mytilus galloprovincialis (Mediterranean mussel)
Lineage: Eukaryota; Metazoa; Mollusca; Bivalvia; Mytilida; Mytilidae
Source: RNAcentral
GUUUUGUCCUUGCUUGUAAAGGUUACUAUUCAGUUCAAAUAGUAUCAUUAGCUACAGCUCAAUAAAGUUGGCGCACAUUUGUGUCAUACGGAUAAUUUGAUUGUCUCCUACUCUGUUUGAGAGAUAUUUGAUUAUUAAAUAUAAACUAACUAGGUCAUUUGGUACAAAUAUGCAAACGGUUGUUUAAGAAUGUUUACUGCU